Molecule: ribosomal RNA, 253 nt
Filed under: uncultured bacterium
Lineage: Bacteria
Description: partial 16S ribosomal RNA
Rfam family: Bacterial small subunit ribosomal RNA
Source: RNAcentral
UACGGAGGGUGCAAGCGUUAAUCGGAAUCACUGGGCGUAAAGCGCGCGUAGGUGGCUAUUUAAGUCAGAUGUGAAAGCCCUGGGCUCAACCUGGGAAUGGCAUUUGAUACUGGAUAGCUAGAGUAUGGUAGAGGUGAGUGGAAUUCCAUGUGUAGCGGUGAAAUGCGUAGAUAUAUGGAGGAACACCAGUGGCGAAGGCGGCUCUCUGGUCUGUAACUGACGCUGAGGCGCGAAAGCGUGGGGAGCAAACAGG